GAUGAAGAACGCAGCGAAAUGCGAUAAGUAAUGUGAAUUGCAGAAUUCAGUGAAUCAUCGAAUCUUUGAACGCGCCUUGCGCCUUUUGGUAUUCCAUGGGGCAUGCCUGUUCGAGCGUCAUUUGUACCUUCAAGCUUUGCUUGGUGUUGGGUGUUUGUCUCGCCUUUGCGUGUAGACUCGCCUUAAAAUAAUUGGCAGCCGGCGUAUUGAUUUCGGAGCGCAGUACAUCUCGCGCUUUGCACUCAUAACGACAGCGUCCAAAAGUACAUUUUACACUCUUGACCUCGGAUCAGGUAGGGAUACCCGCUGAACUUAAGCAUAUCAAUAAGCGGAGGA
RNAcentral lists this unclassified non-coding RNA (336 nucleotides) under soil metagenome. RNAcentral describes it as "partial contains 5.8S ribosomal RNA, internal transcribed spacer 2, and large subunit ribosomal RNA". The stretch from base 1 to 120 matches the Rfam family "5.8S ribosomal RNA", at positions 35 to 154 of the family's 154-position model. The record is from RNAcentral.